Molecule: ribosomal RNA, 257 nt
Filed under: uncultured bacterium
Lineage: Bacteria
Description: partial 16S ribosomal RNA
Rfam family: Bacterial small subunit ribosomal RNA
Source: RNAcentral
CACGUAGGGUGCGAGCGUUGUCCGGAAUUAUUGGGCGUAAAGAGCUCGUAGGCGGUGUGUCGCGUCGGCCGUGAAAACCUGCAGCUUAACUGUGGGCGUGCGGUCGAUACGGGCAUCACUGGAGUUCGGCAGGGGAGACUGGAAUUCCUGGUGUAGCGGUGAAAUGCGCAGAUAUCAGGAGGAACACCGGUGGCGAAGGCGGGUCUCUGGGCCGAUGACUGACGCUGGAGGAGCGAAAGCCGUGGGGAGCAAACAGG